CCUUGUUGCCAGCAUGGCCUGGGACCAGUUCUCACCUCCGAAGUGUAGUUGGUCCCGUUCUCCAGCCCGGAAUCGGCUUCAUCACACCCAUCUCCCAGAGGCACCAUCUGUACAGCACCCCUUCCUCGGAGGUCUUCCUCAAAGUUGGAGGAAGAACUCCAACUUCCUCGGAGUCCUAGCUCUGUGGACGCCUCUUCUGAGUCCUUGGGGAUCUUUCAGGACUUCAUCUUUCUAAUGGCUUCAACCCACCUCAUGAGGCUCCCAGAUCUGUAUUUCCUUCCCAUCUCUCUCCCGGACACUGUCAUGUACCUUAUGGAAAUCCUAUGGUCGUCUUACCCUGUGAUGCCCGAGUAAGAAGUUGACCUAGGUACUUUCCUUUUCAGUUGGUAGAAAUCCGAGUCUUCUCUUCUCCUUGCUUAUCCACUGCCAGUCUCCAAGCGCAAGCCGUUUUCAUCUCAGUAUUUCUCAGAUCUGUUCCCUCCUUUCCAUUUCCACUAAAACUGCCCUAAAGAAGUCCCUCAUCAUCCAUUGCUUCAAUCUCUAGCUAAUCGUCCUGUCUUUAGUCCUCUGCAGGUCUACUCCACCCACGGAGGUCAGACCUGAUCACGUGGUCAGAUCUGAUCACGUGGUCCGGCCGUCACCAGCUCAGUUUCCGUCUCCGCUGUACUCCGUUUACGCUUCUGCAGCACCAGGCUGCACUGUCAGCCCUACAUCACACACCCGUACUUUGCCUGGCUAACUGCUUGAAGACUCAAGGUCACUGAUCCAGGAAGGCACCCCUAAACCUCCUCUCAUCCUCUGUCCCUCUGUGCUCCCCACAUACAGUAGAAUGAUGCUACUGAGCGUAACGGUCAAGCGUCCAGUCUUCUGAGCCUCCUUUGUUUGUGGGUCUUUCACAACACGGAACAGAGCAAAGUUCUAUCCAACUAUGAAUUUCUUUUUGCUAGAGAACAUAGAAAUGGUUGAUAUUUUAUACUGAUGGGAAGUGGUGACUUCAAAAUAUGCCUAUCAAAAUGGGAUCUUCCUGACCCAGGGAUUGAAUCUGCAUCUCCUACAAUGGCAGGUGGGUUCUUCACCACUGAGCCGCCAGAGAAGCCAUUAAGACAGAUCAAAACACAGCAUGCAGGAUCCUAGUUCCCUGGCCAAGGAUUGAACCCGUGCCCCCUGCACUGGAAGCACAAGUCUUAACCACUGGACCUUUGGUGAAGUCCCUAUCGUUACUGAGUUUAACGCAGCCUUGGUUACUGUGAUAAGCUUCUCCUGAAAAUAACAGAAAGAAAUACACAAAUAGGAAGGCAUCCCAUUGCAAAGUCAACAUAUUAUCCAUCUAAGACAGAAACUGCUAUACAGGAGUCACUGGGGAGAUGCCGGAGCAGACAGAAACAAGCCCCGGGCCCCCUGGCAUCGGGCGAGGGGCACUGAGGGGACAGACGUGGCAGCCAAGCUCUGGAAAACACUUGGGAAGCCAUCCCACUGACCAACAUGAGUACUGAGGACUCUGCACUUCCCAUUCUUUCAGCUGACUUAAAGAACUGUCACUUUGGUCAUCAGUCCAAGCUGCAUGUGAAACAUUCAAGAUAAGUUCAUUUUGGAAGGGGGCGGCAGGAGGGACCGUAGAUGUCAAGGUUGAGAGAUGUAAUGUUUUUAGAGCUUAAUGAGAAGCAGUAUCAUUAAAGAAUUCACAUCUGUACAACAUUAAAAGUCCACUAUGUUGUCAA
Molecule: long non-coding RNA, 1718 nt
Organism: Bos taurus (domestic cattle)
Lineage: Eukaryota; Metazoa; Chordata; Mammalia; Artiodactyla; Bovidae
Source: Ensembl